This is a small nuclear RNA of Pongo abelii (Sumatran orangutan), 62 nucleotides long. Its record names the gene U7. It matches the Rfam family "U7 small nuclear RNA". Rfam says of the family: Animal histone pre-mRNAs are spliced by a different mechanism than nuclear pre-mRNAs and self-splicing introns. This processing involves the U7 snRNP, which contains only one RNA species: U7. The record is from Ensembl. Lineage: Eukaryota; Metazoa; Chordata; Mammalia; Primates; Hominidae.
UAGUGUUACAGAUCUUUUAGAAUUUGUCUAGUAGGCUUUCCGGUUUUUGCAGGAAAGCCCCC